This is a long non-coding RNA of Cervus elaphus (red deer), 143 nucleotides long. RefSeq lists it as uncharacterized. Lineage: Eukaryota; Metazoa; Chordata; Mammalia; Artiodactyla; Cervidae. The record is from RefSeq and is a predicted model, not a curated record. The transcript has 3 exons.
CAACCACCAAAUGAAACUGCAGAAAACACCCAGGACAGGUAAAUUAUUGUGUCAUUUGCUCUGGCAGACACAAAGGGGGGGGGGGGUUACCUAGCCACAAGGUGUUUGCAGUCAAGAGGUACUCAAUAGCUAACUGAAUAAGA